GACGAACGCUGGCGGCGUGCUUAACACAUGCAAGUCGAGCGGUAAGGCCCUUUCGGGGGUACACGAGCGGCGAACGGGUGAGUAACACGUGGGUGACCUGCCCUUAGCUCUGGGAUAAGCCUGGGAAACUGGGUCUAAUACCGGAUAUGACUCCAUGACGCAUGUUGUGGGGUGGAAAGCCUUGUGCGGCUAGGGAUGGGCCCGCGGCCUAUCAGCUUGUUGGUGGGGUGAUGGCCUACCAAGGCGACGACGGGUAGCCGACCUGAGAGGGCGACCGGCCACACUGGGACUGAGACACGGCCCAGACUCCUACGGGAGGCAGCAGUGGGGAAUCUUGCGCAAUGGGCGAAAGCCUGACGCAGCGACGCCGCGUGAGGGAUGACGGCCU
This 388-nucleotide ribosomal RNA is filed under the name uncultured bacterium. Its description in RNAcentral is "bacterial SSU rRNA". It matches the Rfam family "Bacterial small subunit ribosomal RNA", at positions 28 to 417 of the family's 1533-position model. The record is from RNAcentral.